Molecule: long non-coding RNA, 1758 nt
Organism: Macadamia integrifolia
Lineage: Eukaryota; Viridiplantae; Streptophyta; Magnoliopsida; Proteales; Proteaceae
Exons: 2
Source: RefSeq, a predicted model, not a curated record
AAAAAAAAAACCAAGGCGGUCGCCUUUCAUAACAAGUCGUCCAAGGCGACCAAGGCGACGCCUUUAUACCAAAGGCAACCGCCUUUUAUACUUCAGCAAUGGUGUCCCUCGCCCUGGUCCUAAAAAACCGCUUGGACGCCAAGGCGUCGCCUUGACAACUAUGAAUUGGUGUUUGAUCCAAUUGACUCUUUGCGGUGUGAAGUUCAAGAGGUCUCUUCAACUAUUCUUUCUUUCUUUUCAAAGUUAAUUGCAAGGUUCUUCAAACUAGGUAAGUAAUCUGAAUUUUUCUGCAAAAUUUCUGGGUUAAGCUCUCUGUUUCCUAUUAUGUCGACCUAGUCUAUUUUGGAGUUUUGGCCACCCGAUUGCUUUGAGAUUUUGGUCAAUUGUUAGGACCAUUAAGAAGGGGACUCGAUCCAAUUUUGAGACAGAUCAGACCUCUGGUUCAGUUGUUGUGUAGUGAUCUGCAGUCCUGACCGAUAAUGGAUUCUGCCCAGAAAUUCUUGUAUGAUUUCUGAUUCCUGUUGAGGUUGGUUGUUGCUUAUAUUUUCUCAAGGGAUUAGACCUUCUAAUCAGUAUUUAGACUUGCUACUUGUUCCUUAAACAUCUACUGCUGAAGUUUCUGAAGUAUUAGAAUCGAUGGUCAGGUUUCAGAUUCUGCUGUGCAGAAUUGAGUCUUGAUUUGAUUUGUCUAUUCUGGUUGUUCUUAGUUUAAAAGUUCCUGCAGUUUGGGGCUGGUUUGGUUGUCAAAUCCAUUCCUACAUUACCCCCUAAGAAGUCUCUCAUUGGAAUUGAGGUCAGUUGAUUUGUUGUUCUCUAUGGUCAGCAGUGUUUAUAUUUGCUCAAUUUGUAUAAAGCAUAAAAGAAGCCACACAAAGGCCAGAUUCCCCUACUAUUGCUUUUACUAUGUUCGAGUGCUUCUUCGACAACAUUGAAUCCUCAUCUAAGGGUGACUAAAUCUCUUAGUUUUGAUAGCUUCGCACUAGAUGCGGUUCUGUUUGUUGCGUUGUAAAUUUUUUCAUACAAAUGAUAUUUUACAUGAAUUUUUUUUUUAAUUUCUUACAUUUUUCGUCAAUACAAAUAGUGGAAAACUAUUUUACAGAUAUUUUUUCCUUUUCGGUUUUCACCUCAGAAACAAACAUGGGAUUCACAAAAGGGAACGUGGCUUGGGACAUUUGUAACGAAAAUGGUGCUUUUAUUUUGGCAGGUACACACUAUAGAUGCUUUAGUGCUCCAAUAACAACAACAAUAGCAUAAGCAAUUAAGCAAGGAUUGAAGUUGGCAAGGAAGAAAGAAAUCCUAUGGUCGAGUGCGCCUAGUUGGAGUUGGGAUAAGCCCAAAAGACCUUGAUUCGUCAAAAAAUAAUACCGCAUUCAACUGGAAGAACAAGGAGCUGCAAAAUAAAGUGGAGAUGCUAGAGGAGAAGAUGGAAUUAAAGAAGAAGAAGAAUGAAGAUGUGAUUAGCAGUAUGCAAUCACAAACUGAAAAACUUACCCAACUCUUCAUGAAUAGAACCUUACAGGAUUCAGUUAAUCUAGAUAAUGUUUAGCACUUCUAAAUUUUGAUGUAAGAGACUAUAGUUUUAUAGAUAACGAUAUCCAAUCAUCUUCUGUUUUGAAAAACCAGGAUGUAACUAAUCGAGAUUUCAGCUUCUAUAUGAAUCUUAUACAUUUUCUACUGUUGGGUCAGACAAUUCUUCCUCUUAUAAAUGAAAGUAUAUAUGUCAACACAUUUUCUGUUAUACAUGUGUUGCUUUACAAA